CACCAAGAGACAAGUUUCUGUCUGUGAACAAAAAAAAGCAUUUGUUCGAGGACAGAGUCCAUGAACCGGGAAGGGCUCAUUUUACAGAGGCAAUUGAAUUUGUUUCGAACUGAAACUGGAACUUUAUUGGAUAUUUUUAUUGCACCUUGAAGCGUCCAUCGUCAACUGAACAUCCAAAGGGACUAAGUACCUGUUAAAAGUCUCGGCGUGCUCCUUGGUCAUCCGUGUUUUAGUUUCCUCUUAAAACACCUUCCUGCCACGUAUAGUUAAAGAAAAGAAGUCAUAUUUUCUGCGAAGCGCAGCUAUGUUAUGUCAUCUGAACCAAAAAUAAUUCAACACUGUGGUUGUCUGUUGGCCCCUGAUCCAAUCAAAGACCCGUCAUGUCAGUACCCGCCCAUGAGCGCGGUGGGUCCCGUAGUGCAGAAGUCAAGACGUGUGAUGUAGUAUGUUUCUCUUUCGGCAGCGCUCCCUACCUUCCCUCGCUCCUCUUGUCCCCUCCGCUCACGUUUUACCAGCCUGAGAAGUGAUGAGCUAUUACCUCGUCUCUUCCCUUGAGUUGUAUCCUGAUGACUCCCGAGGUGGAAGGAGGAAGCGCCCGUGAGAACUUACCUUCUAAAUUGCUGCGGCUUCGGGUUUCGGCCUUGUUUCCACUUCGUCACGGUUGCUGAGAGACUUGUAGGAUAGAGGGAAAGAAUCGCCGUCUGAACACGUGUCACAUGUACUUCCUUGAGGAAGUCUUACCUUGGCGGGUCAGUGGAGAGGAAAUUCUGAAAGGACACAAUAGACGACCUGGCAUUUCCAGCGUUUUCACCCCACUUCUCUGUGCUGCUAUUGUGCGCUUGUGUUCAAUUAAGCCGUCUCACAGGCAGCCGCCAGAGUCGGAGACACAUCGUUGCUCUUUCUGGCUCAGAUUAAGUGAAACACCUGUCCGGGCCUUUGUUUGACAUUAACUGGCCGAGACCAAGUUAUCAAAUAUGACCUUCCGUUGACUGUGCAGGAAUUGCACUUCCCGACAGGGAUUUGGACUAAAUGUCUGUCGGAGGCGCCGGCAGGUGCGUCAGCUAAUGCUGCUUCUCUCGAUGUGUGAACGUUAUUCCUGAAUUCUUUUCAGUCAGUGUGUCCAAGGUAACGAUCUGCUGUGCUUCUUCAUUUUUCUUUAACAACCAGAUAAAUAUAAAUAACUCCAACCACAAAAGGAGCACCAAUUUUCUUCUUCUCCGAACGGAGGCAGGUGCUUCCUCCAGCAAAUACACAUGUUUUAGUUUUUUCUAUCUGUAUUCAUUCCUCACACUCACGGCCC
This is a long non-coding RNA of Gasterosteus aculeatus aculeatus (three-spined stickleback), 1300 nucleotides long. The record is from Ensembl. NCBI's taxonomy places the organism in Eukaryota, Metazoa, Chordata, Actinopteri, Perciformes, Gasterosteidae.